ACGGGUAUGAUGAAAUUGGUAGACGUUUUGGACUUAGGUUCCAAAUUUUGAGGGUUCAAGUCCCUCUACCCGUA
Molecule: transfer RNA, 74 nt
Filed under: Diphylleia rotans
Lineage: Eukaryota; Collodictyonidae
Description: tRNA-Leu
Rfam family: tRNA
About the family: Transfer RNA (tRNA) molecules are approximately 80 nucleotides in length. Their secondary structure includes four short double-helical elements and three loops (D, anti-codon, and T loops).
Source: RNAcentral